RNAcentral lists this ribosomal RNA (254 nucleotides) under uncultured prokaryote. Its description in RNAcentral is "partial 16S ribosomal RNA". It matches the Rfam family "Bacterial small subunit ribosomal RNA", at positions 524 to 776 of the family's 1533-position model. The record is from RNAcentral.
UACGAAGGGGGCUAGCGUUGCUCGGAAUGACUGGGCGUAAAGGGCGCGUAGGCGGCCACUGCAAGUCAGUUGUGAAAUCUCCGGGCUUAACUCGGAAAGGUCAACUGAUACUGCAGGGCUAGAGUGCGGAAGGGGCAACUGGAAUUCCCGGUGUAGCGGUGAAAUGCGUAGAUAUCGAGAGGAACACCUGCGGCGAAGGCGGGUUGCUGGGCCGACACUGACGCUGAUGCGCGAAAGCCAGGGGAGCGAACGGG